AAAAUUCCUAGUUAAACCUAAGACCCAAACGAACCCCUUCUCUCAUUUCCCUCAUCAAAUACGCCGCCCGUAAGUGAAUCAGCCAUUGUCGCCGGCGAAAUAGCUCUAAUCACCCAUAAAAUUUGGCCAUGCAACCAUCACCUCUCCCUGAACCCUAAUCAAUCACAAGUUUUUCCAAAGUUUUCGCCAAAUCAGACCUGUUUCAAAUCUAAAUGAAGGAGAAGAAAAUUUCUCGAGUCCUCAUAUCUGAUGAACGACUG
This 260-nucleotide long non-coding RNA is filed under the name Nicotiana benthamiana. RNAcentral's name for it is "long non-coding RNA (NBEN_LNC004437)". Lineage: Eukaryota; Viridiplantae; Streptophyta; Magnoliopsida; Solanales; Solanaceae. The record is from RNAcentral.